Molecule: non-coding RNA, 259 nt
Organism: Oryctolagus cuniculus (rabbit)
Lineage: Eukaryota; Metazoa; Chordata; Mammalia; Lagomorpha; Leporidae
Source: RefSeq, a predicted model, not a curated record
GAGAUGCUCAUAAAGAAUGUUUAUUGAAUUAACAUGACUACAAAUAUAACAGAAAGGAGAAAGAAGAAAUCUUUAUAUCAACAGUACAGCAGGCAUGAGGAUGACCAAGUUGGGUGAUGGGUUCUAUAUCAAGAAUAUGGAUGAUCCCAGAUGACAAUGUUUUCAGUGAAAAUUAGAGGAGAAAUAUCUUCCUUGAGAAGAGGGACAGACAUGGCCAAAGCCAGCAUAGAUUCAGUGGCCAUAUCUGGAACCACAGCAA